UACAGUGUCAAAAAGUCUCAUCCCACCUGUGCUUGCACAAUGGUGGGAUAGUGACUUUGAGACACGCCCCUAUAUGAGCAUUAAAGUGGAGCGUAAGCUUCACGAUAUGCGAAUAUUGGGAUAGGAUUGUGAAAGUGCGAAGCACGUAACAAUCCGUGU
This 159-nucleotide small RNA is filed under the name Eubacterium ventriosum. RNAcentral describes it as "Clostridiales-1 RNA". It matches the Rfam family "Clostridiales-1 RNA". Lineage: Bacteria; Bacillati; Bacillota; Clostridia; Eubacteriales; Eubacteriaceae. The record is from RNAcentral.